GCUUCAAUUGAGAACAGAAUCAGAGAAUUGAAUGCUUUUUUGACAUCUAUUGUCCUAGUUUUUUCCUCUUUAGGAGAAGUGAAUAUUUGUUAAUAAAUUAUAUUCAUUCGAUUAUCAGAAUACUUGUGCGAUCAUGAACGGGUCCUAUUUGCACUCAGAUUCUAAAAGUUGAUGCUUGUGGUCUUCAGAUAUCAAUGGAUUUCUGCUUAUGAAGCAUUAGUAUCCUGGAAUUCAUGACCCCUGACCAGCAGAGGUCCUUUUCAGCAUAGUGGAGAUGAAUUACCUCAAAGCAUCCUGAUUGUUGAUUAGGAGGUUAGGUUCAAUGGUUUGGUGAAGCUACUGAAAACAGAGUGUAAGUAUGCCUACUGUUUGCCUCUUGGAGAAAGAUUAGACAUUGGAUUAGUGAUGUUAACAGUCCUAAUUUGUAUUAUUAGUAUGAUGUUAUAGGUAGCAUUGGAUAUCUGGAUUGAACUGUUUUGGUAUUAAUCAAUGAGAUCAGAAAUUGAAGAUUAA
Pistacia vera is the source of this 513-nucleotide long non-coding RNA. RefSeq lists it as uncharacterized. Lineage: Eukaryota; Viridiplantae; Streptophyta; Magnoliopsida; Sapindales; Anacardiaceae. The record is from RefSeq and is a predicted model, not a curated record. The transcript has 2 exons.